UAUUGAUAAAUAUAGAGCGAUUUACACGGUUAUCAAAACGUCAUGCCAGGGUAAGCCUACACGAAACACAGCCCUUAUUUUCGGUGUUUCUGAAAUUCCCUAUGGGGAAAAAUGAAUAGUGGAAAAAACGAUUGGAAUCAUAUCCUUGUUUGACUGCUAAGUUUUAUGGGUAUUAUGACUCAUACUGUGGAACUUUAUUAGAACCUUAUUAUAGAUCAGUGAUUAGAACCUUCAAUCCCUGGCAUUCAACUAGGGGUACGCGGCAAAAAUAAAUAUUAUAUACACUGCCUUCGGAAAGUAUUCAGACCCCUUGACUUUUUCCAAAUUGUGUUACUUAACAGACUUAUUCUAAAAUUGAUUUUUAAAAAAUGUUUUAAGAAUCUUCAGCACUUUACACACAAUACCCCAUAAUGACAAAGCGAAAACAGAUCUCAAUUAUUUUUGCAAAUGUAUUAAAAAUAAAAAACAUACCUUUUAUAUACAUACGAAUUCAGACCUUUUGCUAUGAAACUCGAAAUUAAGCUCAGGUGCAUUCUGUUUCCAUUGAUCAUCAUUGAGAUGUUUCUACAACUUAAUAGGAGUCCACUUCUAGUAAAUUCAGUUGAUUGGACAUGAUCUGAAAAGGCACACACUUGUCUAUAUAAGGUCCCACAGUUGACAGUGCAUGUCAGAGCAAAACCCAAGCCAUGAAGUUGAAGGAAUUGUCUGUAGAGUGCCGAGAAAGGAUUGUGUCGAGGCAUAGAUCUGGGGAAGGGUAGGUAAACAUUUCUGCAGCAUUGAAGGUCCCUAAAAACACAGUGGCCUCCAUCAACACUCUUCCUAGAGUUUGGAACAACCAAGGCUUUUCCUAGAGCGGGCCGCACAGCCAAACUGAGCAAUCGGGGGAGAAGGGUCUUGGUCAGGGCUUGAUCAGGGACCCUUGUUCACUCUGACAGAGCUCUAGAGUUCCUCUGUGGAGAUGGGAGAAACUUUCAGAAGAACGAUCAUCUCUGCUGCACUCCACCAAUCAGGCCACUCCUCAGUAAAAGGCACAUGACAGCCCGCUUGGAGUUUACCAAAAGGCACCUAAAGACUCUCAGACCAUGAGAAACAAGAUUCUCUGAUCUGAUGAAACCAAGAUUGAAGUCUUUGUCCUGAAUGCCAAGUGUUAUGUCUGGAGGAAACCUGUCACCAUCCCGAUGGUGAAGCAUGGUGGCGGCAGCAUCAUGCUGUGGGGAUGUUUUUCAGCGGCAGGGACUGGGAGACUAGUCAAGAUUGAGGCAAAGAUGAACUGAGGAAAGUACAGAGAGAUCCUUCAUGAAAACCUGCUCCGGAGCGCUCAGAACCUCAGACUGGGGCGAAGGUUCAGCUUCCAACAAGACAACUACCCUAAGCACACAGCCAAGACAGUGCAGGAGUGCCUUCGGGACAAGUCUCUGAAUGUCCUUGAAUGGCCCAGCCAGAGCCCGGACUUGAACCCUGUCAAACAUCUCUGGAGAGACCUGAAAAUAGCUGUGCAGUGUUCACUCCCCAUCCUACCUGACAGAGCUUGAGAGGAUCUUCAGAGAAGAAUGGGAGAAACUCCCCAAAUAAGGGUGUGCCAAUCUUGUAUCGUCAUAUACCCAAGAAGACUCGAGGCUGUAAUCACUGCCAAAGGUGCUUCAACAAAGUACUGAAUAAGGAUCUGAAUUCUUAUGUAAAUGUGAAAUUUCAGUUUUUUUAUAAUUUAGCACAAAUUUCUCAACCUGUUUUUGCUUUGUCAUUAUGGGGUAUUGUGUGUUGAUUGAUGAGGGAAAACAACUAUUUUAUAAAUUUUAGAAUAUGGCUGUAACCGAACAAAAUGUGGAAAAAGUAAAGGGGUCUGAAAUCUUCUGAAGGCUGUGUGUGUGUGUGUGUGUGUGUGUGUGUGUGUGUGUGUGUGUGUGUGUGUGUGUGUGUGUGUGUGUGUGUGUGUGUGUGUGUGUGUGUGUGUGUGUGUGUGUGUGUGUAUAUAUUAUUUUCAAUGUUAUGAAUGUCGCCGGCAACAACAGAAUAAAUUAUGAAUUACAUACAUACAGUAGAAAAGAGGAGAAUAUAUUCUUUCAAUUUUAUUUCUCAACUCCUAAUAUUGAUCAAAUUACACUGAGUGGAAUAUCUGACAUUGGCUUUGAAAAAUACCCACAAAAGACUACCAGUGCAGCAAAUGCCGCUGGCUGCUUUAAGCAUUCUUGACUUGGACAUUCAUUUUGCCAACACACGGCUAACCUUUGUUUAAACGCUGCUCUUAGCAAAAAUGUUUUUGGAGUUACCUUUUUGAAGCUAAUCAUUUGUGUUAGUUUACACUUCCUCCUCCAAUUUAUAAUGUGGGAAGGUCAAAAUAAUGAAAACUAUCUAACAAAUAUAUUAAUUGGGAUGUUGAUUACUUCUCCUUGCCAUUAUCAUUCAGCUGAUAAGAUGUGAUUGGGGUCCCUGGGCCGCCGGUUUGCCUGGCAGGGGAUCCCUGGGCCGCCGGUUUGCCUGGCAGGGGGUCCCUGGGGAAGAAAAGGUUUAACACCCCUGCUAUAACCCAUACAUUAAAAAUGAUUGAAAACCUUUUUCCUUUCAAAUGAGAUCAACUAUGUUGUCUAUGCAUUAUAUAUUUAUAGCCAGCAGCAUUACAUAAUUUUAGUUUCACUUCAUAUCUUGCAAGUAUUUUUUUACAUAUGUGCAACAAUUUAGAGUCUAUUCAUGAAUAAACAGUAAUUCUCCCUUAAACCACUGCACCACCCUUAUUAAACCCAGCGUACAUCUGUAGAUGUCAUGGCUGGAGCCUGGAGCCUGGAGCCUAUUCAGACUGGUGAGAAGAAAGAGCCUUUGACUAAGCGCCCCCUACUCGGCUGCUGUGAAGAUAACGUGAGCCCCUACCAUCACACUCAAGCCCUGGUCUCUCUGCUCCCCCUGACCCACUAGGUGUGCUGGCUGGAACCAGUGCAGACUGCUGAGAAAGCCUACUCAGCCUCCGUGAAGACUGCCCUGUCUACCUCUCACAGGUUCCUGACGACUUCACGGCAGUUAUGAGUGCCAGUAAGGGAGAACACGCCGUCGUUCCCCCUCGGGAGCAUGGAGAACCCCUGACACACCUUCAUCACAACCUGGCCUGAGACUGCUCGCUUGCUGACGUCAUUGUGCGUGAGUUGGACAACACCGGAGAAGACCGCCAACUCAACAAACUGCGUGUGAAGAUCAAACCAGGUGUUGACCCUGAUGAGAAGGGCUUCUGAUUUGUCUCCUACCUGGCCCACCUGGCUGGAGAUCAGAGUUGUUUCGAUGCCUUCUUCAAGGCCUACAUUGACAAGUUCAAGUUCUGCAGUGUUAUGGCAGAGGAUGCCCUAGAGUUCUUCCUGGAGUAUUUCCCUGACCUGAAGAAGAAAGGAGUACACAAGAUUGAGGUCUGGAGUUUGAUAGCUGGCUCAAUGUGCCUGGUUGGCCUCUCUAUCUCCCUGACUUGUCGGCAGGCCAGAGCCUGAUGAAGCCUGCUGAGCAGCUGUCAGAGCUGUGGGCUGUCGAGGGCCUGGAUAUGGCCAGCAUCAUGAAGACCAACAUCCAGGGUUGGAAGACUUACUUCCUGGAGGAGAUCAUAGAGAAGUCCCCACUUUCUAGAGGUAAUAUAGAGAAACAGGAGGAGCAGUACCCUCACAUCGUGAAGUCAAACAACGCUGAGCUACGACUGUGCUGGGCCCAGAUCAUUUCCAAGAAUCGGCACCAGCCAGGAUAUCAACAUGUGCGCAGCUUCCUCAGCUGCCAGGGGAAACAGAUGUACACUCUGCCUGUGUACCGUGCACUGUGGAAUGGAUCGGAGGAUGCCAGGUCUCUGGCCACAGAUCUUCAAUGCCACAUCACAUCAGCUCCACGUCAAUGUCCACAACUAUGUCAAGAAGAUCAUCGCCUGAGUGCCGUCAUAAGAGCUGAACAUGAGAUCCAGUGUCGUCUAGCUGACCCUGGACUUGAGAUAUUAUAGAGAAGGAGAAGCAGUAGUGGUCUGUCCCAGUACUUUUAGCUGGCCUGUUCCUUAAAUGUAUUGUCAGGUUGAAAUGCCAACAUUAUCUUGUUUUUUACUGUCGCCUGGUCAGUGGUUACAGGAAAAGAGGCAAUUUUACAUAUUUCACAUGCAGCUUGAAUGGUAAAUCCUUUGCAUUUACACAGCCCAGCAUGAAAGGCUCUGCUCUGGGCAUAUCUUGCCUAAAGCAUAGAUAUGCCCAUGCUAAUUAAGCAGUACUUGUGAUGAAAAAAUCAAUUGGAUUAAUAAGGAAAAAUUAAAUUACUACUUUUGAUGUAUUGAGUAUGUAUAAAAACAUUUUUAUUGUUUUUUCAUCCAAACUAAGCUGUAUUUUAAAAACUGUUCCAAACAAUACAAAUACAUUAUUUUGAAGUAAAUCUGUAGUGGUUGGUGUUUUUCCUCCUGAAAGAUUCAAUGUAUCUUAUUGCUUUUAUUUGCUGUUCACUGUAUACUUUAUUUUAUUACAAUGAACAAAAAUAUAAACGCAGCAUGGAAAGCGUUGGUUUAAUGAGCUGAAAUAAAAUAUCCUAGAAAUGUUUCAUACACACAAAAAGCUUAUUUCUCUAAAAUGUUGUGCACAAAUUUGUUUACAUCCCUGUGAGUGAGCAUUUCUCCUUUGCCAAAAUAAUCCAUCAACCUGACAGAGGGGACAUAUCAAGAAGCUGAUGAAACAGAAUGAUCAUUACAGAGGUGCACCUUGUGCUGGGGAUAAUAAAAGGCCACUCUAAAAUGUGCAGUUUUGUUAAAACACAAAGCAACAGAUGUCUCAAGCUUUGAGGUGGUGUGCAAUUGGCAUGCUGACUGCAGGAAUGUCCACCAGAGCUGCUGCCACAUAAUUUAAUGUUCAUUUAUCUACCAUAAAAUGCCUCCAACUUCGUUUUAGAGAAUUUGGCAGUAUGUCCAUCUGGCCUCCCAACCGCAGACCACGUGUUUGGUGUUGUGCGGGCAAACGGUUUGCUGAUGCCAACGUUGUGAACAGAGUGCCCUGCCCCAUGGUGGCGGUGUUGUUAUUGUAUGGGCAGGCAUAAACUACGGAUAACGAACACAAUUGCACUUUAUCCAUCGCAAUUUGACUGCACAGAAAUACGGUGACGCGAUCGUGAGUCCCAUAGUAGGGCCCAUUUAAAAACAAAAAAA
This is a long non-coding RNA of Oncorhynchus keta (chum salmon), 5131 nucleotides long. RefSeq lists it as uncharacterized. NCBI's taxonomy places the organism in Eukaryota, Metazoa, Chordata, Actinopteri, Salmoniformes, Salmonidae. The record is from RefSeq and is a predicted model, not a curated record. The transcript is spliced from 7 exons.